RNAcentral lists this ribosomal RNA (449 nucleotides) under Metschnikowia sp. 6.3.1-Y1. RNAcentral describes it as "LSU rRNA". It matches the Rfam family "Eukaryotic large subunit ribosomal RNA", at positions 82 to 493 of the family's 3401-position model. The record is from RNAcentral. Lineage: Eukaryota; Fungi; Ascomycota; Pichiomycetes; Serinales; Metschnikowiaceae.
AGUAACGGCGAGUGAAGCGGCAAAAGCUCAAAUUUGAAAUCCUUCGGGAAUUGUAUUUUGAAGGUGGGUUUGGUUAGGAAAAGUUACUUUAAGUCCAUUGGAAAAUGGCGCCAUGGAGGGUGAUAGCCCCGUAAAAGUAUCCCUUUUCCUUUUAUCCAUUCCCUCCAAAGAGUCGAGUUGUUUGGGAAUGCAGCUCUAAGUGGGUGGUAAAUUCCAUCUAAAGCUAAAUAUUGGCGAGAGACCGAUAGCGAACAAGUACAGUGAUGGAAAGAUGAAAAGCACUUUGAAAAGAGAGUGAAAAAGUACGUGAAAUUGUUGAAAGGGAAGGGCUUGCAAGCAGACACAACCUCGGUUGGGCCAGCAUCGGAGUGGGGGGAGACAAAAAAGAAAAGGAAUGUAACUCUUUCGAGUAUUAUAGCCUUUUUCUCAUAUCUCCACCCCCUUCCGAG